This is a long non-coding RNA of Etheostoma spectabile (orangethroat darter), 95 nucleotides long. RefSeq lists it as uncharacterized. The transcript is spliced from 3 exons. The record is from RefSeq and is a predicted model, not a curated record. NCBI's taxonomy places the organism in Eukaryota, Metazoa, Chordata, Actinopteri, Perciformes, Percidae.
UGUCUGCGUCUCGUCUCGUGGUUAUGACGCAGUUGUUAGCCUAUUUUUACAAAAACGUCUGCUAUGUAGCCAUAACAUGAGGUACAAGGUAAUGG